RNAcentral lists this transfer RNA (77 nucleotides) under Filifactor alocis ATCC 35896. RNAcentral's name for it is "tRNA-Asp (GTC) (tRNA-Asp-GTC-2-1)". It matches the Rfam family "tRNA". From Rfam's summary of the family: Transfer RNA (tRNA) molecules are approximately 80 nucleotides in length. Their secondary structure includes four short double-helical elements and three loops (D, anti-codon, and T loops). Lineage: Bacteria; Bacillati; Bacillota; Clostridia; Peptostreptococcales; Filifactoraceae. The record is from RNAcentral.
GGCUCGGUAGUUCAGUUGGUUAGAAUGCCAGCCUGUCACGCUGGAGGUCGAGGGUUCGAGUCCCUUUCGAGUCGCCA